RNAcentral lists this ribosomal RNA (342 nucleotides) under uncultured Anoxybacillus sp. Its description in RNAcentral is "bacterial SSU rRNA". It matches the Rfam family "Bacterial small subunit ribosomal RNA", at positions 1039 to 1382 of the family's 1533-position model. Lineage: Bacteria; Bacillati; Bacillota; Bacilli; Caryophanales; Anoxybacillaceae. The record is from RNAcentral.
UGGUGCGAUGGUUGUCGUCAGCUCGUGUCGUGAGAUGUGGGUUAAGUCCCGCAACGAGCGCAACCCUCGACCUUAGUUGCCAGCAUUCAGUUGGGCACUCUAAGGUGACUGCCGGCUAAAAGUCGGAGGAAGGUGGGGAUGACGUCAAAUCAUCAUGCCCCUUAUGACCUGGGCUACACACGUGCUACAAUGGGCGGUACAAAGGGUCGCGAACCCGCGAGGGGGAGCCAAUCCCAAAAAGCCGCUCUCAGUUCGGAUUGCAGGCUGCAACUCGCCUGCAUGAAGCCGGAAUCGCUAGUAAUCGCGGAUCAGCAUGCCGCGGUGAAUACGUUCCCGGGCCUU